This 75-nucleotide transfer RNA is filed under the name Candidatus Aminicenantota bacterium. Its description in RNAcentral is "Candidatus Aminicenantes bacterium tRNA-Glu". It matches the Rfam family "tRNA". Rfam says of the family: Transfer RNA (tRNA) molecules are approximately 80 nucleotides in length. Their secondary structure includes four short double-helical elements and three loops (D, anti-codon, and T loops). RNAcentral also lists the same sequence under 1 other name. Lineage: Bacteria; Candidatus Aminicenantota. The record is from RNAcentral.
GGCGCUAUCGUCUAGGGGUUAGGAUAGGUGGUUCUCAGCCAUCAGACCGGGGUUCGAAUCCCCGUAGCGCUGCCA